Molecule: long non-coding RNA, 1178 nt
Organism: Capsicum annuum
Lineage: Eukaryota; Viridiplantae; Streptophyta; Magnoliopsida; Solanales; Solanaceae
Exons: 4
Source: RefSeq, a predicted model, not a curated record
GAGGGUUUCCUAUUCUCUUCUCUACUCUUCUCCGUCGCAAGUUCUCUGUUCCAGAUGAAAAAUGUUGACUUUCACUGUAUGAAACUUGAGUUCUUCGUGUAUCUGUUGUGAGUUAUCAAUCAAAUACCAUGGAUUAAAGCUGGUCCUGUGUUUAUCAACUAUCAAAAGUGCGUUCUCCGAUGGAUGGGAUGAAGCUCUUCUUUUUGUGUUGUGUUGAGGGUCUCAGAUUCCUGGAUGAUACUUCAGAUUUAUUUGCUAAUGGGAUGGAGAUAGUAAGAUGCUCGGACCCGCAUGAAAAUAAACUGUAGUAGUUCAUCUAGGUGUUUCAAAUGCCAAUAUCUAUUCCGACCCUCCCCCUUUUUGCUGAGAGUCCCUUUUGAGGGCUGACAUAGAUUAGGCUAGGAAACUUAUUGUGUCUUUUUGUUAGUUUCCUCAUUGUAAAUAUCUGGUUGUGUAUCUCUGAACACUCUAGCCUACUCAGCCUGUUCACUCUCUUGUUACUCUCAUCCUUGUGUAAGGACAUUGUAAUUUAUCACCGUCAAAAAUAUAAAUUAUUUUUUCUGGUAGUUUCGUAGUAGUUUUUGAUUCAUGUUUCAAUUAGGAUUUUGAAGAAACUUACAUGCACAAAUACGUUUUUUAUUAUAAUUAAUGGAGUAGGAAAUCACAAUUUAAGUUAGGAAUGUACAAAAAUCGAAUCGAUAAAAUGUUAUUGAUUUAUCGUUAUUGAGUAAUCUUAUAAAAAAAAAUAAAUUAUUGAGUUAUUAAUUCAAUUUUAAUUUUUUUUACUAUGUCUAAAUAGUAGUGGAUGUAGUUAAGAAGCUAAAGGUUCUUAACUACAUACCUAACCCCUACAUACUUUACCCAAUAACCCGGUAAAAAAAAUAUUAAAAUCAAAUUAAUAAUUCAAUAAUUUUUUUUUAUAAAAUCAUUAUAAGUCGUUAACUCAUUAGCAAUAAAUUAAUAAUAUUUUUAUUAGUUUGAUUUUUGUACACUUGUAACUUAAAUUGUGAUUUUUUACUCCAUUAAUUAUAAUAAGAAACGUAUUUGUGCAUAUGAGUUUCCUUAAAAUCCUAAUCAAAACACUAAUUAAAAACUACAAAAAAAAAAAAAAAUUGUUUUAGACAAACAGAAAAGAUAGUGUAAUUUGACAUAAAGCGUAAAAGGUAAUUUUUUAUAAU